This 788-nucleotide ribosomal RNA is filed under the name Anthostomella cocois. RNAcentral describes it as "partial large subunit ribosomal RNA". It matches the Rfam family "Eukaryotic large subunit ribosomal RNA", at positions 77 to 890 of the family's 3401-position model. The record is from RNAcentral. Lineage: Eukaryota; Fungi; Ascomycota; Sordariomycetes; Xylariales; Xylariaceae.
CCCCUAGUAACGGCGAGUGAAGCGGGAACAGCUCAAAUUUGAAAUCUGGCCUUCUGGUCCGAGUUGUAAUUUGUAGAGGUAUAAUCUUAGUCUGGUGCCUUCUGAGUUCCUUGGAACAGGACGCCUUAGAGGGUGAGAGCCCCGUACAGUUGGACACCAGUCUAUUGUGAUUAGCCUUCGACGAGUCGAGUAGUUUGGGAAUGCUGCUCUAAAUGGGAGGUAAAUUUCUUCUAAAGCUAAAUACCGGCCAGAGACCGAUAGCGCACAAGUAGAGUGAUCGAAAGAUGAAAAGCACUUUGAAAAGAGGGUUAAAUAGCACGUGAAAUUGUUGAAAGGGAAGCACUUAUGACCAGACUUUUUCCUGGAGGAUCAUCCGGUGUUCUCACCGGUGCACUUCUCCUGGUUUAGGCCAGCGUCGAUUUCCGCAGGGGGAUAAAGGCUUCGGGAAUGUGACUCCCUUCGGGGAGUGUUAUAGCCCGUUGCGUAAUACCCUUGUGGGGAUCGAGGUUCGCGCUCUGCAAGGACGCUGGCAUAAUGGUCAUCAGUGACCCGUCUUGAAACACGGACCAAGGAGUCGAACAUUUAUGCGAGUGUUUGGGUGUUAAACCCUCACGCGUAAUGAAAGUGAACGGAGGUGAGAGCCCUUACGGGUGCAUCAUCGACCGAUCCUGAUGUCUUCGGAUGGAUUUGAGUAAGAGCAUAACUGUUCGGACCCGAAAGAUGGUGAACUAUGCGUGGAUAGGGUGAAGCCAGAGGAAACUCUGGUGGAGGCUCGCAGCGGUUCUGAC